CAAAAACAAACAAAAAA
RNAcentral lists this small RNA (17 nucleotides) under Arabidopsis thaliana (thale cress). Its description in RNAcentral is "ATSL256570". Lineage: Eukaryota; Viridiplantae; Streptophyta; Magnoliopsida; Brassicales; Brassicaceae. The record is from RNAcentral.